UACGGGAGGCAGCAGUGGGGAAGUAAUUGCACAAUGGGCGCAAGCCUGAUGCAGCCAUGCCGCGUGUAUGAAGAAAGGCCUUCGGGUUGUAAAGUACUUUCAGUCGUGAGGAAGGUGUUAAGGUUAAUAACCUUAGCAAUUGACGUUAGCGACAGAAGAAGCACCGGCUAACUCCGUGCCAGCAGCCGCGGUAAUACGGAGGGUGCGAGCGUUAAUCGGAAUUACUGGGCGUAAAGGACACGCAGGCGGUUAAUUAAGUUGGAUGUGAAAUCCCCGGGCUUAACCUGGGAAUGGCAUUCAAGACUGGUUAGCUAGAGUCUUGUAGAGGGGGUAGAAUUCCAUGUGUAGCGGUGAAAUGCGUAGAGAUGUGGAGGAAUACCGGUGGCGAAGGCGGCCCCUGGACAAAGACUGACGCUCAUGUGCGAAAGCGUGGGGAGCGAAACAGGGAUUAGAUACC
This 457-nucleotide ribosomal RNA is filed under the name uncultured bacterium. Its description in RNAcentral is "bacterial SSU rRNA". It matches the Rfam family "Bacterial small subunit ribosomal RNA", at positions 340 to 786 of the family's 1533-position model. The record is from RNAcentral.